RNAcentral lists this ribosomal RNA (563 nucleotides) under uncultured bacterium. RNAcentral's name for it is "partial 16S ribosomal RNA". It matches the Rfam family "Bacterial small subunit ribosomal RNA", at positions 355 to 1375 of the family's 1533-position model. The record is from RNAcentral.
UGGGGAAUAUUGCACAAUGGGCGAAAGCCUGAUGCAGCAACGCCGCGUGAGUGAUGAAGGCCUUCGGGUUGUAAAGCUCUGUCUUUUGGGACGAUAAUGACGGUACCAAAGGAGGAAGCCACGGCUAACUACGUGCCAGCAGCCGCGGUAAUACGUAGGUGGCAAGCGUUGUCCGGAUUUACUGGGCGUAAAGGAUGCGUAGGCGGAUUUUUAAGUGAGAUGUGAAAACCCUAAGCUUAACUUGGGGACUGCAUUUCAUACUGGAAAUCUAGAGUGCGGGAGAGGAGAAUGGAAUUCCUAGUGUAGCGGUGAAAUGCGUAGAGAUUAGGAAGAACACCAGUGGCGAAGGCGAUUCUCUGGACCGUAACUGACGCUGAGGCAUGAAAGCGUGGGUAGCAAACAGGAUUAGAUACCCUGGUAGUCCACGCCGUAAACGAUGAGUACUAGGUGUAGGAGGUAUCGACCCCUUCUGUGCCGCAGUUAACACAAUAAGUACUCCGCCUGGGAAGUACGAUCGCAAGAUUAAAACUUAAAUGAAUUGACGGGGUCAUAGCUGUUUUCCU